CUCAACUGGGAAGCUUCCUACGUGGUUAUGCCUGGAACAGGGGUCACAGCGUGGGUCCUGAGGAGGCUCUGAGGUUGAGCUCAGUUCAGAGAUGAUGCUUUCCCCAAAACCAGUUCACCAGAGGAGAUGUCAUGGUAGUGAUGUUCCCCAAGAGACCAGAGACCAGAGACCAGAUCGACAUAGGAAGAAGUACAUUGCUGUGUGUUUGUAACUCAGGC
This is a long non-coding RNA of Zalophus californianus (California sea lion), 218 nucleotides long. RefSeq lists it as uncharacterized. NCBI's taxonomy places the organism in Eukaryota, Metazoa, Chordata, Mammalia, Carnivora, Otariidae. The record is from RefSeq and is a predicted model, not a curated record. The transcript is spliced from 3 exons.